UGCUGACAAUGUGAGGUAGUGUUUCGAAUGUCUCUGGCACUAGCGACAUCCGUUUCACUAUCUGCAUAUUGCGGCGC
This 77-nucleotide microRNA precursor is filed under the name Echinococcus granulosus. Its description in RNAcentral is "let-7 stem-loop (egr-let-7)". Its record names the gene egr-let-7. The record is from miRBase by way of RNAcentral. Lineage: Eukaryota; Metazoa; Platyhelminthes; Cestoda; Cyclophyllidea; Taeniidae. RNAcentral also lists the same sequence under 1 other name.